Molecule: RNA transcript, 3660 nt
Organism: Oncorhynchus gorbuscha (pink salmon)
Lineage: Eukaryota; Metazoa; Chordata; Actinopteri; Salmoniformes; Salmonidae
Gene name: zinc finger protein 7-like
Exons: 8
Source: RefSeq, a predicted model, not a curated record
UAAACCAGAGAGGAAGAAUAAACGAAUUCGUCAGUAUAAACGGAAGUUAACAUUGACCCAAGAACAAUCUUACAUUUAGCGUUUUUAUUGUUAUUUCGACGUUUAUUAACACCCUUGAACUCAAAAUGAAUCCCUCGACUGCACAUCAUCAAUUAUUUACACCUGGUAGUCUUUAAUUCGCGUUGUCGACAGGACGAUAUGUUUUCUAGCUAGCUAGCUGCUAACAAUGGCUAACUGUAUGGUUUUUCACACUCAAAUAGCCUCCAUCAUGGAGGUGCUAGCGAAUGCUGCUGUAGCAGAGAUCUGUAAAAUCGUGGACGACGACUAUGCAGUGGUUCGUUUGGAAAUAACUCAAAGCCAUAAAGAAAACAGGGGAUUGCGGAGGAAACUACAGCUACUGGAAAUGAAGGUGGCACGGGAGCGCGCAGAGAAGACAGCGCGGGAGCGCGUCCUCGCCAGUCGUCCCAGUAGUGUGAAACUCCUCGACCGAUAUAGAGGAUUGGCAAGAGGCGAGGGACAUCUCACUCGAGGCCACAGGAGCUUUGCGAAGCCAGCAGGACAUAACACGUUUAGAGAUGACCAACCAAUCACUGUUGAUGAGGGGAGUGGAACCUCAACCCAGCAUGUUAUUGUGAUAGAGUCUGCAGAGGCUGCAGUCACUGGGGUCAAGAUGGAAAGGUCUGAAGGAGAGGAGGACCCACGGCACAGCAGAGACAUCCAGACUGGAGCGUCCCAUGUAGCCACGGAGGACCUCACCGCCACCACGCCAAGGACCCGACGCAGCAUCACGGAGGAGGAGGAGGGUCCAGAGGUGCUGCUGGUGAAGGAGGAGGUUCUGGGGAACAUGGUCAUGGAGGACAACCAGACUACACCUCCUCCUGAACCCACAGAGGAACCAGCUGAGCAGCACAGGACCACACACAGUCUCACUGAGUCAGUAGACAUGGAGGAUGGGAAGCCUGAUCUGCUGCUGGUCAAAGAGGAGACAAUAGAAGAUGGACCAGAGAGCAUUGAUCUGCUGAGUGGACUAAAGAUGGGGGAGCAAGGUGGAUGGCUGGAGGUUAACAGAGGAGACUGGGCGGCCAUCUUGGAUUCCCAGAACCAGACGGGUGCAGCCAAGGGCCCAGGGGACAAUGUCACUGAGCAGGACAGGACUAGAGGCAACAGAGUGGAGAUGGAGGACAUCUCACUCGAGGCCACAGGAGCUUUGUGAAGCAAGCAGCACAUAAUGUGUGUAGAGAUGACCAACCAAUUACUGUUGAUGAGGGGAGUGGAACCUCAACCCAGCAUGUUAUCGUGAUCGAGUCUGCAGAUGCAGAGGCUGCUGGUCCUGGGGUCAAGAUGGAAAGGUCUGAAGGAGAGGAGGACCCACCGAACAGCAGAGACAUCCAGACUGGAGUGUCCCAUGUAGCCACGGAGGACCUCACCGCCACCGCGCCAAGGACCCAAUGCAGAAUCACGGAGGUCAGUGGAACUCCGAACGCCGUCCUCAAGUCAGAGACGGACACAGAGACUUUAACUGAAACACAAAGACUUUUACACACAAGAUCUGACCACAGGUCAGACCCAGAGGGGCUGGGGCGACUGGGCUGUCCUCCUGUUCCCAGCUCAGAUUAUUUACUUUACGAUAACCUGAGCUCGAGGGCGGUUCAAGUUAAUUCCCAUCGAGACUCGGGUGACGUGUUAGAGGCUGGCAGUGAUCUGUCUUGUUCUUACACUACAGAGAUGGACUCUGGCAACAUAUCCUUGGGUUUAGAGACACAGACUGAUCUGUCUAGAGGGGACUGGAACCUGUACAGCAGUAGUGCAUACUCUGAAGAGUGCCUAGAUAAGAAAGGGGAGGUUAUAGUCUUAGAUGAGGUGACUGUAAAAGUGGAGGGUGAUGUUCCUCUGACAUGGAAUGUAGACGAGACUCCCUCAGGAGAAGGACACUCACAAGGCAGAGAUUUCUUAGAUUAUAGGGAAAGCUUAGAGACAAAUCCAAAUGUCACGACCCACUCCCCUUUACACACACUCAGGGAUCGAGACCCAGUGUCCACGUUGAUGGGGCCUUCCAAUUCACACGGCCGCCGUGUCCUUUUUGAUGAGCUAUUGAACUCAAACAACAGAUCUAGAGCCCAGGCGCAGGGAGAGGGAGCAACAUCAAGCAGUAGUAGAGAGAAACGAUUCCUCUGCAUGUUCUGUAACAAAGGCUUCAGCUGCAUCCAGAAGGUGGAAAUCCACCAGAGGGUCCACACAGGAGAGAAACCCUUCAGCUGUACACAGUGUCACAUGCGCUUCACGCAGGCUGGUGACUUAAAGAGGCACCAGAGGGUCCACACAGGGGAGAAACCAUUCAGCUGUACCCAGUGUCAGAUGCGCUUCUCACACUCGUCCAGCCUGAAGAGGCACCAGAGGGUCCACACAAGGGAAAACCCUAAAGGUACCCCCAGUGUAAGAAGAGUUUCACCAACUAGAACAAGCUAAAGAUGCAUCUGAAGGUCCACACAGGAAAAAGUAUGUUCGCCUGUACGCACUGCAGGAAGAGGUUCUCCGAGAGGAGCUACAGAGAGGAGCUACCUCAGGAUACACCAGCAGAGAAAACAUUCCACUCUAUAACAUUGAAAGUAACCAUUCCACUCAAUAGCCUCUGACAUUUAGAUCAAAUCCUGCAUUAUAGACAAAGAUUAAUUUUCAUUGUCAGUAGAAAAUAUCCACAGAUGCAUUUGGAAUAGUGAGAGUAACAUAUUUCAGUGUUGAAUUUUCCUGGGUAGAAUAUUGCAUCCAGACAUUGUGAUAUAUAAGGCCUAUAUAAGCCUAAAAAGUCUGUUACAUAUUGUGUUUGUACUGUGUAGGCUAUAUGAUGUUCAUACAGAUUGAGACAUAUUUUAAAUGUACAUUUUAGUCAUUUAGCAGGCACUCUUAUCCACAGUGAAUUACAGUUAAUGCAUUCAUUUUAAGAAAGCUGGGCUAAACAACCACGUAACACAGUCGUAGCAAGUACAUUUCCUUAAAUAAAGUACUUAGCAGCAAAGUCAGUGCUAGUAGGAAGACUCAUUCUUUUUUGGAAGGGACUCUGCUGUUCUAGCUUCAGGGUGAAGCUGGUUCCAUCCAGCUUUGACUGGUCUGAGCAAGAGCUGACCACUUGUAAAGUGGGAUGUUGAAGAGACCAGUGGCAGAAUGGAGUGCUUCGAUUGGGGUGUAGGAUUUGAGCAUAGCCUGAAGGUAGGGAGGGGCAGUUCAUUUUGCUGCUCUGUAGGCAACCAUCAUGGUCUUGUAGUGGAUACGGACUUUGACUGGAAGCCAGUGGAGUGUGCCGAGGAGCGGGGAGACAUGGGAGAACUUGGCGGACUGCAGCAUUCUAGAUAAGUUUCAGGGGUUUGAUGGCACAGGAGGGGAACCCAUCCAACAGAGAGCUUCAGAAGUCUAGACGGGAAAUGACAACUGCGUGGAUUAAGGCCUGCUCCGCUUCUUGUGUGAGUAAGGGUUGUAUUCUACGGAUGUUGUAGAGCAUGAACCUUGGAGCGGGGUAGGCCUUCCCCGGGAGGAAGAGUGAGCUUGAGGUGGUGGGCAGACAUCCAAGCUGAGAUGUCUGCCGGGUACGCAGAGAUAUGUGUGUAUGUGUGGUUUUCAUAUGGUGUAUUUAACAAUAGUUUGUUUAAUAAACACAAUGGGACUUUU